AAAUGUGAGUGGAAAACCUCCCGGAUGCCGCCCCGGAGACAGACCACAGCCCGGACGGCCUUCGUCUAACUGCAGACUGACUCAUCACCAACAUUUACCAAGAAAAUGACCCAGGAGUGAACCCCAGGGUCAGUUUUUCUGACCCCCAGCUGCCUCUCCCCGGCACCCACCUCCUUGACAUGGAAGGCUGACAGGAGACUCUCCAGCAUCCGCGGCAGGCACGACCCAGAGGGAGAAGGAGCAGCCCAGGGUGGCUUCAAAGGGAGCCCUCCUCCCGGCAGCGGGUGUCCCACUGUGUAUCCACCUGGAAACGAAGGAACUGCACUGUCAGCUAGUAUCACAGAGCAUGGCACAGCAAGAGGGAACCUGGAGUGGGGAUCUGCCUGUUGUUCUCUUGGCUCUGACACUUCGAUUCUCUGGGGUUCUGCGUGCUACCUUCACGUUCACCGGGCCAGCAUGCUCAGCAGAGGCCUGAGGCGGCAGGAAGAGUCUAAGGCCCUGGGGAGCAGAGAUCUGGGUUUGAAUCCUGCCUCUGCUGUUUUCAGCUCUGUGACUCUGGGCAGGUAGCUUGGCCUCUCUGAGCCUGUUUCUUCACCUACAGAACUGGAAUAAUACCUAUCUCGAAGGGUUGUUGUGAAGAAAAGAAAUAAAUGGACGCAAGCCCCUAAGAUGGGGCUUUGCUCAGACAGAGCAGGCGCUCUGUGGAUAAAGCCAUUUUUUUUUAAAAGGCUACUCAAGUUUUGGGAACAAAAGGUUGUGACAAGUGAU
Long non-coding RNA from Phyllostomus hastatus (greater spear-nosed bat), 768 nucleotides. RefSeq lists it as uncharacterized. NCBI's taxonomy places the organism in Eukaryota, Metazoa, Chordata, Mammalia, Chiroptera, Phyllostomidae. The transcript has 3 exons. The record is from RefSeq and is a predicted model, not a curated record.